AUUCCACUGUGGUCUGAGAAGAUAUUUUACAUUAUUAUACUUUAAAUUUUUGAAUGUUUUAAGGAAAUGUUAUGUAAAUAUUUGUUAGGUCCAUUUGUUAUAUCAUGCAGAUUAAGUCCAGUAUUUCUUUGUGGAAUUUCUGUUUGAAUGAUUCGUUCAGUGCUGAAGGUAGAGUGUUGAGAUGUCCCCAGCUAUUAUCCUAUUGGAGUCCAUCUCUCUUUAGCACUAAUAAUAUUUGCUUUAGAUACCUGAUUGCUCCAGUGUUGAGUGCUAUGUAUUUAAAAUUAUAUCCUCUUGUUAAAUUGACCUUUUUAUCAUUAUAUAAUGAGCUUUUUUGUCUCUUUUUGUAGUUUUUGUCUUCAAAUCUAUUUUGGCUGAUAGAAGUAUAUCUAUUCCUGCUCUUUUCUGGUUUCCAUUUUCAUGGGAUAUCUUUUUGAAUCCUCCUAUUUUCAGCCUAUGUAUUUCUUUAUAAGUGAAGUAUGUUUCUAGUAGACAACAGAUUGUUGGGUGUUGUUUUUAUCCAUUCAGCCCUGUAUGUCUUUGGAUUGGAGAUAUUAGUCCUUUUACAUUCAAUGUUACUAUUGUCAAGUAAGGUCUCACUCCUGACAUUUUGUUUUCUGGUUCCUUUGUGGUCUUCUCUUCCUUCUUUCCUUCCUUCUUGUCUUCCUUUUAGCGAAGGUGGUUUUCUCUAGUGGUAUGUUUUAAUUUCUUGCUUUUUGUUUUUUUUGUGUGUGUGUCCAUUGUAUGUUUUGAUUUGAGAUUACCAUAAGGCUUGGAAAUAAUAUCUUAUUACCCAUUAUUUUGAACUUAUGACAACUUAACACUGAUUACAUAAACAAGCAAGCAAAAAGAAAACUAAUAAAAACUCUACCCUUUAAUUCAGUCUCCCUGCUUUUUAACUUUUUCAUUUCUAUUUAUAUCUUGUUGUAAUAUCUAUGUCUUGAAAAAUUGUAGUUAUUAUUUUGAUUGGAUCAUCUUUUACUCUUUCUACAUAUUAGUAGUUUACACACCAUAAUUACAGUGCUAUAAUAUUCUGUGUUUUCUCUGUGCUUACUAUUACCUGUUAGUUUUGUACCUUCAAAUGAUUUCCUAUUGCUCAUUAGCAUACUUUUCUUUCAGACUGAAGAACUCCAUUUAGCAUUUCCUAUAAAACAGGUCUGGUGUUGAUAAAAUCCCUCAGCUUUUGUUUGCCUGUGAAGGUCUUUAUUUCUUCUUCAUGUUUGAAGGAUAUUUAUGCUAGAUGUACUAUGCUAAGGUAGAAUUUUUUUUUCCUUCAGCACUUUAAAUGUGUCGUGCCGCUGUCUCCUGGCCUGGAAGGUUUCCACUGAAAAGUUUGCUACCAGACAUAUGGGAACUCCAUUGUAUGUUAUUCGUUUGUUUUCUCUUGCUGCUUUUAGGAUCCUUUCCUUAUUCUUGACCUUCGGGAGUUUGAUUAUUAAAUGCUUUGAGGUAGUCUUCUUUGGGUUAAUUCUGUGAGUGUUCUGUAGCCUUCUUGUACUUGGAUAUUGACAUCUUUCUCUAAGUUUGGGUUUGGGAAGUUCUAUGUUGUUAUCCCUUUGAAUAAACUUUUUUUUUUCUUUUGCAUAAAAUGCAGAUCCUGCACAACCUUUGAAUAAACUUUCUAUGCCUAUUUCUCUCUCUACCUAUUCUCUAAGGGUAAUAACUCUUAGAUUUGCUCUUUUGAGGCUGUUUUCUAGAUCUUGUAUGUGUGCUUCAUUGUUUUUUAUUCUUUUUUCUUUUGUCUCCUCUGACUGUAUUUUCAAAUAGCCUGUCUUCAGGCUCACUAAUUCUGCUUGAUCAGUUCUGAUGUUAAGUGGCUCUGCUGUCUUCAGCAUGUCAGUUGCAUUUUUCAGCUCCAGAAUUUCUGCUUCGUUUCUUUUACUUAUUUCAGUCUCUUUGUUAUAUUUAUCUGAUAGGAUUUUGAAUUCCUUCUCUAUGUCUUCUCUGUAUUAUCUUGAAUUUCUUUGAGAUUUCUCAAAACACCUGUUUUGAAUUCUUUUUGAAAGGUCGCAAUAUCUCUGUCUUUGUGGGACAGGGAUUUUUCACUGGUGCCUCAUUUAGUUCAUUUGAUGAGGUCAUGUUUUCCUGGAUGGUCUUGAUGCUUGUGGAUGUUCGUCAGUGUCUGGACAUUGAAGAGUUAGGUAUUUAUUGUAGUCUUUGCAGUCUGGGCUUGUUUGUACUCACCCUUCUUGGGAAGACUUUUCAGUUAUUCAAAAGGACUUGAGAAUUGUGAUCUAAUUUUUUUUCCCACCACAGCUGUAUCUGGAUUACAGGGCAUUCCAAGCCCAGUAACACUAUGGCUCUUGCAGACUCAAAGAGGUACUGCCUUGCUGGUCUUGGGUAAGAUCUGGUAGAAUUCUCUGGAUUGACAGGCAGAGCCUCUUGUUCUUUUCCCUUACUUUCUCCUAAACAAAUGGAGUCUUUCUCUCUCUGCUGAGCUGCCUGGAGCUGCAGGAGGUGUUGCACAAGCACCCCUGUGGCUACUACCACUGUUACUGCACUGGGUGAGACCUAAAUCCAGCACAGCACUGGGUCUCAUCCAUGGCCCACAAUAAUCACUGCCUGGCUACCACUUGGGUUCACUCAAGGUCCUAGGCCUCUACAAUAAACAGGUGGCAAAACCAGCUAGGCUAUAUCCUUCCCUUCAGGGUAGUAAGAUCCCCCUGGUCCUGAGGGCAUUCAGAGAUGCCACGUAGGAGCCCGAGCCUGGAGUUGGAACCCUUAGGAAUCUACCUGGUAUUCUAUUCUACUGUGGCUGAACUGGCACCCAAGCCACAAGACGAAGUUCUUCCCAUUCUCCGCUUCCCUUUCCACAAGCAUAGGAGUCUCUCCCAUGGCCACCACCACCCCAGGCAUGCAGCAAGUACUGUCUGGCUACUGCUGUUGUUCAUUCAAGGCCCAAGGGCUCUUCCGUCAAUUUGGUAAAUGCUGCCAGGUCUGGGACUAUUUCAUCAGGGCACUGGACUUUUCUCUGGCCCAAGGCAGGUCCAGAAAUGCCAUCUAAGAGACAAGACCUGGAAUCUGAGACCCCCAAGAGCCCACAUGAUGCUCUACCCCACUGUGGCUGAGCUGGUACCUAAGCUGCAAGACAGAGACCCCUUUAUUCUUCCUUCUGCUUUUCUCAAGCAAUAGUCUGUCCUUGUAGCCACCACACCUGGGAAUAUGCUUGGUCACACUUGAAGCUAGUAUAGUACUGGGUCUCACCCAAGGCCUACAGCAAGUAAUACCUGGUUACCACUACAGGUUUUUCAGGGCCCAAGGGUUCUUUAGUCAGCAGGUGAUGAAUCUUGCCAAGACUGGGUCUUUCCCCUCAAGGCAGCAGGUUCCCUUCUGGCCCACGGUAUAUCUAGAAAUGUCAUCCUGGAGCUAGAGCUUGGAAUGGGGGCCUCAAGACUCUGUGUGAUGCCUGUCCUAUUGUGGCUGAGCUUGUGUCCAAGAUGCAAGACAAUGUCCUCUUUAUUUUUCCCUAUCCUUUCCUCAAGCAGAAGGAAGGUGUCUCUUUGGAACUCUGCUGCCUGGGGUUAUGAGGAGGGGUGAUGCAGGCACUUUAAUUGGCUGCCCUGGCUGGUGUCUCACUAGGUGACGUGCCCCCCAUGUCCACUGACUGCAAACCCAGCACAGCACCAGGACUUGCCCAGGAAUGGCAGUCCUUAUGUCCUAGACCACCUUUCAACUUUAUUUAGGACCCCAGAGCACUUUAGCCUGUGGUAUGAGGUCUGCCAGAAUGCAUUCUGAGCACUGGGGUGGGCUGAGCCCUCUGGCUAGGGCAGGUCCAGAUGACCCUUUCAUGGGUUCUGCCUGAGUUCUGCCUGGUGGUGUUUUCCAUUGUUACAGGGGAGCACUGUGUUCCCAUGCCAGUUUCCACAAUUACUGCACUCUUCCUGCUCCAAGUACAUGGGUUCUCUCUUGGCACCAUAGGGCCACUGCUAGGGAAUGAGGAAGGGGUUGUGUUGGCAAUGGAAGACUGUUUUUCCUACCCUCUUCAAGGCCUCUUUCAGUGAUACGAAGUUCAAAACAUAUACUGUGAUCACUCACAUGAUUUUUGUUUCUCAUGACCGUACUUUUUUGUAGGGGUAGUUGUUCAAUUUGGUGUUCCUGCAGGAAGAUUGGUGGAGGCUUCUAUCUGGCCAUCUUGCUUUGCCUUCUCCCCAAUCCAGAUAAUUUAAAUAAUAUCUGACACAGAGUGUUUAUAAGACCUUUGUAUAAAUUGUUCCGUUAUGUCUUUGUUUUCAUUUUGAGUGUUCUUGCAGUAUUUUCAGGUUAAAUAAUAAAGCGAGCAUAUCAAAUUUUAGCCUUAAUCUUAGCUUUGCAUUUCACCUUGUGAAUUUGUUGUCGUGGUUUGCACUUCAUAAUGACAUGAUUAAAACAGGCCACAAUGACUACAUAGAGGAUUAUUCUUACAGCAGAUGGGUUAUAUCAGUAUUUUCAUAUUUUUAUUUUGAAGUUGUAGGUAAGGUCUUAUUUAAAUAUAAAACCCAGAGUUGGUGAGAUUGUAGAGAAACAGCUCAGAUCCUGUUGGUGAGAGUGCAAAUUGGUAUAUAAGCUAAAACUCCCAAUACCUACAUGAUAGGAACUGAGUCCUCCUUUCAGUGCCCACAGUAGUUUAUUUACAGUAGGGCUUAUCUCACAUACUCAACUGAGGCAGUUCAUGGUACCUUCUCAGUCUCCAGUGUCACCUGUUGUAAAAUCCUUACUGAACAACUCUUCUUACUGAUAUAUAAUGUAAGAGCAUUUUAUACGUUAAAUUAUAGCAUAGUAGCUAAGAGGAUCCUCUGUGUUGGAAUCUUUACUGUACUAGCCAUGUGAUCUUGGUUAAGUUACUUAGCACCUCUGCGCAUCAGUUCGUCAUCUGUAAAAUGAGGAUAAUAGAAUUUAUCUCAUUGGUUGUAAAGAUUAAAUAAGAAAACAUUUAUAAGACAUCAUAGUACCUGGCUCAUGUUAAUCACUAAAUAAAGGUUAAUUUUUACAAUUAUCAAUAUUAUAAAAUAUUUGUACAUUUUCUAAAAGCAAAAUUCUGGAAAGUAUGUGCUGAGCACUAAACUGUGUCUACCUCAAAAUUCUUAUGUUGACGCCCUAGUCCCCAGUGUCGACUGUAUUGCAGAUGGGGCCUAUAAGGUGAUAAUUAGGUUAAACGAGGCUUUAAGGGUGGGGUCCUAAUCUGAUAGGGUUGGUGCCAUAUAGGAAAAUGAAGAAACACCAGCGCUCACUCUCUCUGGCUCUCCAAGAAAUGGACAAACUGGGAACAGAGCACGCACCAGGAACCAAAUUGGCUGGCAAUCAACCAAUCCUUGAUCUUGGAUUUCCCAGCUUCCAGAACCGAUGUUUCUUGGGAAUACAGGCCAAGCAAACAAGGGACUUGUUGAAGGAAAUGGAGUGGAUUGGGUCUGUGAAACAGUGGAACAAAUUCAGAAAUGCAAUGAAUGCAACUUCCAGGAGAGUUAUGCAACAGGAAGCCUGCCUAUACAGAUUGAAAGACUUCAGCACUGUAAGAACUGCCUGUAGAAAAAAAAGGAAUUCCUGGAUUUGCUAGUAUUCUGGAAAUGUUGGAAGAACCUAGUCUAAUGAUGCCAUAAAGGAAGACAAUUCAAGACAAAGUAAAAAGGCAAUUUAUAAUUUAGUUGAGUGGGGUAUAUGACAAGAAGCUAUACCAAAAAAACAAGUAGAGAUAUAGAAGGUAACUUUCCCGGACAGUGAAUACUGUUUACACAGAUGUGGCAUAAAUAUCCUUUA
Chlorocebus sabaeus (green monkey) is the source of this 5730-nucleotide non-coding RNA. Lineage: Eukaryota; Metazoa; Chordata; Mammalia; Primates; Cercopithecidae. The record is from RefSeq and is a predicted model, not a curated record.